RNAcentral lists this ribosomal RNA (429 nucleotides) under uncultured archaeon. Its description in RNAcentral is "bacterial SSU rRNA". It matches the Rfam family "Archaeal small subunit ribosomal RNA", at positions 474 to 903 of the family's 1478-position model. The record is from RNAcentral.
UACCAGCUCUCCGAGUGGUAGGGAUGAUUAUUGGGCUUAAAGCGUCCGUAGCCGGCUUAGCAAGUCUCCUGUUAAAUUCAGCGACCUAAUCGUUGAGCCGCGGGAGACACUACUAGGCUAGGAGGCGGGAGAGGCCGACGGUAUUCUCGGGGUAGGGGUGAAAUCCUAUAAUCCCGGGAGGACCACCAGUGGCGAAGGCUGUCGGCUAGAACGCGCUCGACGGUGAGGGACGAAAGCUGGGGGAGCGAACCGGACUAGAUACCCGGGUAGUCCCAGCUGUAAACGAUGCGGGCUAGGUGUUGGGGUGGCUACGAGCCACUUCAGUGCCGCAGGGAAGCCAUUAAGCCCGCCGCCUGGGGAGUACGGCCGCAAGGCUGAAACUUAAAGGAAUUGGCGGGGGAGCACCACAAGGCGUGAAGCUUGCGGUUC